This 253-nucleotide ribosomal RNA is filed under the name uncultured bacterium. Its description in RNAcentral is "partial 16S ribosomal RNA". It matches the Rfam family "Bacterial small subunit ribosomal RNA", at positions 524 to 776 of the family's 1533-position model. RNAcentral also lists the same sequence under 1 other name. The record is from RNAcentral.
GACAGAGGGUGCAAACGUUGUUCGGAAUUACUGGGCGUAAAGCGCGUGUAGGCUGCUUGGAAAGUCGGAUGUGAAAGCCCUGGGCUCAACCUAGGAAGUGCAUUCGAAACUUCUGAGCUUGAGUAUCGGAGAGGAAGGCGGAAUUCUCGGUGUAGAGGUGAAAUUCGUAGAUAUCGAGAGGAACACCGGUGGCGAAGGCGGCCUUCUGGACGAUUACUGACGCUGAGACGCGAAAGCGUGGGGAGCAAACAGG